UACGGGGGGAGCAAGCGUUGUUCGGAUUCAUUGGGCGUAAAGGGCGCGUAGGCGGUCAGCACAAGUCAGUUGUGAAAUCUCCGGGCUUAACUCGGAAAGGUCAACUGAUACUGUGCGACUAGAGUGCGGAAGGGGCAACUGGAAUUCUCGGUGUAGCGGUGAAAUGCGUAGAUAUCGAGAGGAACACCUGCGGCGAAGGCGGGUUGCUGGGCCGACACUGACGCUGAUGCGCGAAAGCCAGGGGAGCGAACGGG
Molecule: ribosomal RNA, 254 nt
Filed under: uncultured bacterium
Lineage: Bacteria
Description: partial 16S ribosomal RNA
Rfam family: Bacterial small subunit ribosomal RNA
Source: RNAcentral